AGGAUUAAGAUGGGCAUGCGUGUCAUUAGCUAGUGGCGGGGUAACGGCCCACCAAGGCGACGAUGACUAGGGGAUCUGAGAGGAUGACCCCCCACACUGGUACUGAGACACGGACCAGACUCCUACGGGAGGCAGCAGUAAGGAAUAUUGGUCAAUGGAGGCAACUCUGAACCAGCCAUGCCGCGUGCAGGAAGACUGCCCUAUGGGUUGUAAACUGCUUUUAUCUGGGAAUAAACCUAUUUACGUGUAGAUAGCUGAAUGUACCAGAAGAAUAAGGAUCGGCUAACUCCGUGCCAGCAGCCGCGGUAAUACGGAGGAUCCAAGCGUUAUCCGGAUUUAUUGGGUUUAAAGGGUGCGUAGGCGGCCUGUUAAGUCAGAGGUGAAAGACGGUAGCUCAACUAUCGCAGUGCCUUUGAUACUGAUGGGCUUGAAUGGACUAGAGGUAGGCGGAAUGAGACAAGUAGCGGUGAAAUGCAUAGAUAUGUCUCAGAACACCGAUUGCGAAGGCAGCUUACUAUGGUUUUAUUGACGCUGAGGCACGAAAGCGUGGGGAUCAAACAGGAUUAGAUACCCUGGUAGUCCACGCCCUAAACGAUGAACACUCGCUGUUGGCGAUACACAGUCAGCGGCUAAGCGAAAGCGUUAAGUGUUCCACCUGGGGA
Molecule: ribosomal RNA, 662 nt
Filed under: unidentified bacterium wb1_C18
Lineage: Bacteria
Description: SSU rRNA
Rfam family: Bacterial small subunit ribosomal RNA
Source: RNAcentral